CUCAGCGUCUCGGCCAGGCUCUUGGUCACAAACGCCGCCUCGUCAUCCGCCAGCCUCCCCACCAUCUUGAGCCUGUCCCGGAGAGUGCACGAGCAGAGCUCCAAGAUUAGGGAUCCCCACCAGCGGCCCUUGCGCUCCUCCUCGACCAUGUCGUAGAUCUCUAGUGUACCAUGGCAGCCAUUGAGUUUGAGCAUGAUUUCCUUCUCUCUCUCACCCGAUCUCUCGAAGCUCUUAGCCGCUAGCAACUUACCACCCAUUCUAAAGCUUACAAGGUGUACAGUGCCUUGCCCUCCCUUUCCAAGCUCAAAACCCACAUCAUACAUCUUUCUCAAGGACGAGAGCUCCUCGCUCACCACCAACUCACCACUCUCGACCGCUCUCCACACAGUCAUGGCGAUUAAACAACGAGUGUUAGCGUGACCUAAAGGGAGCUGCCUUUAAGUCUUGAUCAAACCAGAUUGAAUUAUGAUCAAGACUUGCAGACCUUUGCGGUGAAUUCCACGACAUAGAGAUUGUUUCCUUUGCUUGUUUCUUUCGCUGUGCCCGUGGCUCCUUCAAAUCUUCUGGUGCCACCAACGAUGGCGAAGAGAGCUUGAGAUCCAGCGGUCGAGCUCCCGGCCUCGCCUUGAAACUCGAGGCUGCUACCAUCAGCAAAGGAGCAAUGCGAGGACUGGAAGCUCCCAGGCCGGUGUUUGCAAGGAUUCCCAUGUAUGUCCCAUGGAUAACCUGGUAUAGCCCUUGGUGGAGACCGAGAAUGGGGCUGCGAAUGUCUGCAUUGAUCCGGUCUACCAGCGUUGUCUUUGGGAAGAACGUAGAACUCGGUUUGGUUGAUCCCCGUGUCCGUAAAUAGGGACUGGCCUUGGAAGGUGUAGGUCUUUCACUGUUUCACAACUUCACAAGAUUCAAAGCAUCGAUAAGAAAAUGGAAUCUAUACCUUGGAGGACGAUGCUGAUGUCGCUAAUGCCAAUGAUCAAGAAGAUCCCAAUUCUAGAGGAGGCCAUUGGCCCCAUUGUGUAGAAUGCUCUAGCCUAGAGCUCUCCAUAUCUUAGAUAAAUAGAUAGAUACCAGAGUACACGUGAAAUACGUGAGCGUCGAUCCAUUAACACUGGGCCGAGGCUGAAGAAGGACGAGAUUGUGAAACAAAACUUGGCAGGAAGAGCUCGUGCAUGUCGCCGUUGGUUUCUCGACACAACAGUCAAGGAUAAUUUGUUCAAUCUCUCAAGUAUAGAACUGUGCAUUUCAUAUUAGUCCCAGCUGCACCAUACAGGGCAUAGACUACAAAAAUUUGAAUUCCCAUAUAAUCUAUAACAAGGAAAAAAAAGGAAUGAGAUCCUAUACUAGUUAUCUACCUUUAAACCUCGCAGCUGGAUCACACUUUAGUCUCCUACAAAAUCCAAGAACCAGGUUCUGCUUCACUUUUUUCACGUUUAAGUUCAUGGCAGAAGGGGCAACAAUUGCUAAUUUUAAUGAGGCUAACGGGAAAGAAUCAUCGAAGCUGGCCCACGAGCAGCUACUAAAACCUUUAAAACCCCUCAUCAAAAUCUUCCAAGAUUCAUGCCACUAUUUUUUCAUGUAUCUAAGAAAUGGAUGAGCAUUAGCGACAUCAUCAUCCUCCAUUUUCUUAUCUAUGCGAUCAAUGAAGACAUUGGCAGCCCCCUCUUAAGCUCUUUUCGCCAUUGUCAGAGGCACCAUAAGGUUUGAAGGAGCCACAGCACUGCGAGAGAAACGAGCAAAAAAACAAAACCAAUCUCUGUAACAAAGAAAUUGUAAAUGAUAAGUAAAAUGACAGGAGUGCCUUUCAGAGGAAUCCUCAUCCUUUGGAACAGCUUUUUCACGUAGGAACCAGUGAAGACUACAACGACCAAAACUAAAUACGCACCCAUUAUUGACCACGAUGCCUUGGUUCCGAUGAAAUCGUAGACCACAUACAGAAGGCUGAAGAGGAGCGGCAACAUCAUCGUAGACAAGCUUGAAAAGAAGAUCAUCCAAAUAGCUUUUUCACCUCAGAAGCGUUUCCUUGUUCGUUCUCACCGAUCGCUAUUAGACACCUUGCCAAUCCAAAUGCUGAGAUGGUUGAAGCAAGAAGGAAGUGGAAGCAACGCCCCUUUUCCACUGGUGUGGCAUUCUCUUUGAUGAGGGAGAUUCCUGACUGGAGGCAUGUAGAAGCCACAAAAGUGAAAGGCGUAAUCAGCAAUUUGGCAAACUUCAAUGCUUCUUUGUUGGGGGCAGCAUUAGCUUCUGCAAUCUUUCCCACUUCUUCCAUUAAACUCAAAGUCCUUUCCCUGCAAGCUGCUGAUUUUGUUGAGCGGGAUGAUGGGAGUGCUAAGAUGGAUCACAUGGCCUUGAUCGACCAGCAAAACACACUAUAUAUUCUUUAGAUUCCGUGGAAUGCCUUGAAUCGGUAUUUGCCGCACGAUAAGCGACUUGCCACAAAUAAUCAUAUGUAUACGUUUCUUUGUUUUGUUCUUACAAGUCAAACUGAAUCUGGCAUUUUGCUACAUGAAUAGCAACGUGAAACAAAUCUCUGCAAAAUGGCAAGUGUCACUUGAUUUUACAUGGGGAUCCGAUAACCUACAAACUGUUUCUUUGUGUCUUGUUCUUACAUAAUCUUGCAAAUCAAGUUCCUGGUAAACAGCUCGCUGGUGUUGUUCACGAUCCAGGGGUGACCAAGCACUUGCUCCACCGUCAGCCUCCGGCUCGGAUAAACCUCCAACAUCCCCAUGAUCAAAUCCUUUGCCUCGCUCGACACAUCACUCCAAUCCAGUGCAAACUCCACAUUGUCCACGCUUUUCAGCAAUAACUCCACAUAAUCAGAGUGGUAUUCAGGGAACGCCACCCUUCCGCUAACGAGCUCAUAUAGAAUGAGUCCGAGCCCCCAAACGUCCACCGCUUGAGUGUAGUAUUUCGGCCAUCCGCCCUCACCAGCCCUGAGAACAUCUGGCGACAUAUACCCAGGGGUGCCACAAAGGUGGUGCAUCUCGUCUGCCCGGUCAGUCGCAACCCCAAAGUCAGACAGCUUCACCUCGUAAGGUUGCGCUGGAUGCGUCAGCAAAACGUUUUCCAGCUUCAUAUCCCUGUGCACCACCCCAAGGUUGUGCAUCUCCCUCAGCGUCUCGGCCAGGCUCUUGGUCACAAACGCCGCCUCGUCAUCCGCCAGCCUCCCCACCAUCUUGAGCCUGUCCCGGAGAGUGCACGAGCAGAGCUCCAAGAUUAGGGAUCCCCACCAGCGGCCCUUGCGCUCCUCCUCGACCAUGUCGUAGAUCUCUAGUGUACCAUGGCAGCCAUUGAGUUUGAGCAUGAUUUCCUUCUCUCUCUCACCCGACCUCUCGAAGCUCUUAGCCGCUAGCAACUUACCACCCAUUCUAAAGCUUACAAGGUGUACAGUACCUUGCCCUCCCUUUCCAAGCUCAAAACCCACAUCGUACAUCUUCCUCAACGACGACAGCUCCUCGCUCACAACCAACUCACCAGUCUCGACCGCUCUCCACACAGUCAUGGCGAGAUUAAACAACGAUUAUUAGCGUGACCUAAAGGGAACUGCCUUUAAGUCUUGAUCAAACCAGAUUGAGUUAUGAUCAAGACUUGCAGACCUUUGCGGUGAAUUCCACGACAUAGAGAUUGUUUCCUUUGCUCGUUUCUUUCGCUGUGCCCGUGGCUCCUUCAAAUCUUCCGGUGCCACCAACGAUGGCGAAAAGAGCUUGAGAUCCAGCGGUCGAGCUCCCGGCCUCGUCUUGAAACUCGAGGCUGCUACCAUCAGCAAAGGAGCAAUGCGAGGACUGGAAGCUCCCCAGGCCGGUGUUUGCGAGGAUUCCCAUGUAUGUGUCCAUGCAUAACCUGGUAUAGCCCUUGGUGGAGACCAAGAAUGGGGCUGCGAAUGUCUGCAUUGAUCCGGGUCUACCAGCGUUGUCUUUGGGAAGAACGUAGAACUCGUUUUGGUUGAUCCCCGUGUCCGUAAACAGGGACUGGCCUUGGAAGGUGUAGGUCUUGCACUGUUUCACA
RNAcentral lists this long non-coding RNA (3999 nucleotides) under Selaginella moellendorffii. RNAcentral's name for it is "long non-coding RNA (SMOE_LNC002260)". Lineage: Eukaryota; Viridiplantae; Streptophyta; Lycopodiopsida; Selaginellales; Selaginellaceae. The record is from RNAcentral.